Molecule: long non-coding RNA, 1038 nt
Filed under: Pongo abelii (Sumatran orangutan)
Lineage: Eukaryota; Metazoa; Chordata; Mammalia; Primates; Hominidae
Description: lncRNA (ENSPPYG00000036610.1)
Source: RNAcentral
CACAUCCAGAGAAGUCCCAGGGACGGGGCUAGCGAGGUAACUCGACGUGGCCGGGACAGCUCGCUCCCGGCGGACCCGGGCGGCGCCCCGAGCCCGAGCCCCGUCUCGUCCGCCCGGAAGCAACGGCGCGGGCACGUGGGCCAGGCCGGGCGCCGACCCCGGGCACUCGGCCGCUCAGUCGGCGCCGCCCCCGCGCCAGCUGUCAGGGCCGGGGUCCGCGCGGGGGCGGGUCCGGGGCGGCGCCGGGCGGGGACCCCGAGGCCACAGAGCCGCGCCCCCGCCCGCCUGGCCCCGGCCCUGGCCCCGGCCCCGGCGCGGCGCAGACAAUGGCGCGGCCCGGCCCGGCCCCGGCGCGGUCCGCGGGGGACGGGGCUCGCGGCGGGCGGCGGGGCAGCGGCGCCCGCGCACUCACCUCGGCCCGGCCUCUGGGGCGGCUCCCGGCCGGCUGCGGACGACGGCGGCGCGGGCGGACGCUCCAUUCAUUACCGCGGCUUUGUCUGCCCCCGCGCCCCUCCCGCGGCCCCGCCGCCCGCCGCCAGCGACGCCGCCGGACGCUGCGCCCCUCCCAGGGCCUCGCGCGGCGCGGGGCGGGGCCGGCCGGGGGCGGGGCCGAUCGGGGGCGGGGCCUACGCGGGCAGGCGCAGUGUCCGCGUACCCGCCCCGCCUCGUCCCUGGCCGGGCGGGAGGACGGAGCGCCGGAGGCACGGCCGCUGGGGCGGGGCCGGGCGGAAGACGCAGGCGCAGUGCGCGCUUCGGCUCCGCCCCCGGAUCCGGGAGGGCAAACUACGCAGGCGCAUUGGGAGCUCAGGCGCGGGCGGGCUACGGGAAGGGACUAGGCGCUCUGGCUGGGCGGGGCGCGGGCGCCGUGGUUUCGUCCCGUGGCUUGGCAGUUGGCAGCGGCUCGGCGCGCACCCAACGGCCCACCGCGGGUUUCCGGGACGGCUAGCAGCGCGGGUCCUGGUCCCGCCCCGACCCCCCCUUACCUGGCGCAGAGGCCGCUCAGUGCGGUGCGGUCAGGCCCGGUGGGCUGGGACCUAA